GACUGAGCAACUAAACCUACCUACCUAUCCCCAUCCAUAAGGGUUAUGGCGGAGGGCCAUAUGGCUGGUGCACAAUACUGCCAAGUGUUACUUGGAAAGAAGGCAGCAGAGGACUUUCCUGAAGCAGGUGCAGUGAGGGGCAUGGCUCAUCUCCCCAAGCUUGCUUACCUUCAGACCUGGGAAUUCUCUACUCCUGCGGGGCAUCAGAGAAACCAGAUGUAUCCCCUUGAAUAUUUAUGGUCGCACAGCUUCUUCCAUGAAUAAUUCAUCCCACACAGCACUGUCUACCCAUCAGCAAGGCUGCCCAGGCGAGGAGCAGGAACAGAAAGGCUCAUUCCUCCCCUCCCUGGAAGUCCCAGCGCCUGAAGCAGACAGAUGGGGAGCCACACGCCUUGCUUGGAUCACCCUGUGACAGAUAAUAAAACACACUUUGUUGGAAUUUUCU
Bubalus bubalis (water buffalo) is the source of this 445-nucleotide long non-coding RNA. RefSeq lists it as uncharacterized. NCBI's taxonomy places the organism in Eukaryota, Metazoa, Chordata, Mammalia, Artiodactyla, Bovidae. The transcript has 2 exons. The record is from RefSeq and is a predicted model, not a curated record.